This is a non-coding RNA of Arachis ipaensis, 275 nucleotides long. NCBI's taxonomy places the organism in Eukaryota, Viridiplantae, Streptophyta, Magnoliopsida, Fabales, Fabaceae. The record is from RefSeq and is a predicted model, not a curated record.
UGAUGGCAGCUUCAGCACUAUCAGCAUCAAUUGUGGAUAACAACUGACCCAAACGCUCGCUUAAAUCAUCAACCUCUCUGUAAUUGAAUUUAUUAUAGCGGUCAAUGCAAAGGGUUUGAAUUGAAGUGUAUGGAAGAGAUGGAUGUGCAUAGAAUUUGGAAUUGUUUGGAGCUUAGUCCAUAAUAUACGGAAUGUACCUUGUCGGAGCGCCUAUUGCGAAUCUCUGGAACAAGUUGGCGCAACUUGGAAACAAGCUGGAUGAUUUGAUCGUCGGA